Heterocephalus glaber (naked mole-rat) is the source of this 5288-nucleotide long non-coding RNA. The record is from Ensembl. Lineage: Eukaryota; Metazoa; Chordata; Mammalia; Rodentia; Bathyergidae.
AUGUGGGCCCCAGGAGCCCGAUGUAGCCCUGAGCCAGUGAGACCCUCGAAGGCCGAGACCAACCGCCUUCCCUCCGCGGGCCUUACCCACCACCCGGCCCUGCCUCAGGCCCUGGCCUCCGCCAGUGUGGGCCCCGGGAGCCUGCUCAGGGUGCCAUCCCAUGCCUGCGGCCCUGCCCCACACAGCUUACUCAUUUCUCAGGAAGUUUCUAUUCUUCUUUUUCAGUUGAAUUUUUUCUUUGCUUUUGUCACUUUUUCUUUCCUUAGCAAAACCCCGAAAUUCAUUGCCAGCAUGAGAGUUUAAGGCAGAGCUUCUCAACCUGGGCACCGUGGGCGUUUUGGCUAAACAACCCCAGCCUUGCAGGAGGCCACACAGCACCCCUGGCCCGUCCUGCCUGUCCCUGGCAUCUCCACAAGCCGCCAGGGGACCCUCAAGCGUGGGUUGAGAACCCCUGGCUUUCCUGGUCGCCUUGUUCACCCAGCUACAUGUCUUGGGACUGCUUGGGCCUCUGAGGUGUGGCCAGGCUGUUUGAGUUUGUGCACUGUGGCAGGCCACGCCCCCUCCCCCAGGCAGCUGCCAGAGAGGCCCUGUCCAGCCCCCCUAGGUGGCAGUGGCUCCUGUGGCCAGCCAGACACUCUCCCCGCUGUCUGGGGACCCUGAGGUCUGCACAGCCCACUCACCGAGGAGCAGGUCCCUGGGCGCCCUGUGCGUGGAAAGCCUGGGGUGAACUGAGGAGGGGUCUGCACGGAGGAGACUGCUGGACCAGCGGCUUGGAGGCUGGAGGAUUCCUGCUCUGGACCGGCUAUGCCGUGAGCCCCCUGCAGGCAAUGUGACACCCUGGCCCGCACCACACACAGUCUGGGGCGGUGACACCGAGACAACUCUUUGGUCCACGUCUGUCCAGGAGACAACAUACAGAGGACCCAGCCUGAGCCCCACGUGAACUGGACCAGGGAAGUGACCCCUGUCUGCUGGCCCUGGAGGAAGCCAUUGUCACUCAGGCUGGAGAGGGAAGGGCACUGGGGUCUGUCCUCAGCACCCGGCCCAGCUCAGUGGUGCGAUGGUGGAUGCUAUAUGGGCUGUCACCCAGCUGACCUCUGCUGAGCUGACCAGCACAAGUCCCCACGGAGAGGCCAUCCCUGGCGUUGAUAGUGGCACCAGUGGCACUGGGGAUGGAUGGACAAAGCAUCACCACCUGUAGCCACCAUGACACGCCUGAGGCCAGGCUCUGAUGUCCAGCAUUGGAGCCAGCCUACCAGGCCAUGUCCUCACCGCAAUGUGGAAGGUCAAUGUGUGCGGACCAUACAGAGCCAGCCCUGGCUGCUGGGCCCAGUGAGGGCACCAUGGAGCGAGGACCGCACAGCUGCAUCCUGUCCUGCUGUGGCACCCCAGGGUGCCAGGUCUGACCUGAUCCAAGUGAGGACCACUGUCCCUCACCCCGGAUCCUGCAAGGUGACAGAAGACAGUGGGAUGACACUUCUGGUCAAGUGUGUGUGCCAGCUGUCCAGCAGGGUUCCCUGGCCACAGGAGUGCUGGGUGUGCCUGUGAGCACGGGGCUCCCUCCGCAUCCUGGGUCGAGUUACAAGUUCAGCAUCGCACUUUGGAAACAUCACUCUGAGAUAGCCCAUUUAAAGGCCUUGAUGUCUGCUCCCAGAGGGCAGAGAAGGAGCACGAGAAAGACCUUGUUCACCCCCAAGCCCAGCUCUGCAGGCCUGGCCCACAACUGCCAGGCACAGCGGGUGGAUAGAAGUGGGUAUGGCAGGGACAGGCAGCUGGCUGUCCUCUGUCCUUGGCUUGUACUCAGUUGAGGGAGUGGGCCAAGCCUUUCAGGGGCCAGAGAGCAGAUUUUAAAACACUGAAGAACUGAGCAUGGUGGAUCAUGCCGGUAAUCCCAGCACUCUGGGAGGCUGAGACAGGAGGAUUACAAGUUCAGCCCCAGCCUGGUCAAUUUAGCAAGAGCCUGCCUCAAAAUAAAAGAGGGCUGGGAAUGUAGCCCUGUGCUAAGGCCCUGGGCUCAGUCCCCCUUUAUUGCAGUCACUAAGCAAAUGCCAAAGACAGCAGAGAUCAGACUGUCAGCAUUUCCAUGUGGCACCACAGUGUCCUGAGUGUGGAGUUCAGGGCCACUCGGGAGGCCAGCCAGGGAAGGCAGGCCGGGUCAGUUUCACAGGAGGGGGACCCUGAGGUCUGGAACCUAAGCGCCUGUUCCGUGUCCCUGGACACUGCUGGCAAAGGGCUGCUUCCCACCCGAGGACAGCAGAAGACACAGGGACCGGGGCCCAGUCAUCCCCAGGGCAUGGCAGCGGUGGAAACGCUCUGCUGGACUGUGGCACAGCUGUCUGUGGCCCUGGUGCCCACUUGGGUCAGCAGGCAGGAUGAAGUGACUGGACUCCCCGUCAGUGUGGCCAUCCCAGCGCACUCGUGUGACUGUGACGAACCCUGCAGCUCCACCCGACACUUUCAGGUGCCCUGGCCUGGCUCUGAGGAGCGGCAGCAUUUGCCCCAGAAGCAGGGGCCGGGGAUGCCUCGGAGUACGUGGCAGCCUCCCCUGUCCCCAAGGCCCGGGGCCACCUGGCUUUGCAUCCAGAGCAGUGGCAGUGUGGCCUAGACAUGUGGUUGCAGUGACGGACACAGUGCUGCGGGCCUCAGUGACGGGGGCUGUGGGAACUGUGCCUUCCAUCCCCGCCUGCCACUGCCUGGCCCCUCCUCCGAUGCAGACAGAGCGGCGCCCCUGGGACCCUGGAGUGCAGCAUGGUGCUGCCAAGUGCCUGUGUGCCUCGUGCUGGGGCCGAGGCCACGACAAGGCCUGCUGGCUCAGAGAACCCCGUGCCCGCACCUGGAGGGGGCUGGGAGGGGAGGAACAAGGGCCCCGUCACGCCUGUCUCCUGCCCCCCGCCAGGGCACUGCACAAACAGCACUCAGCCCAGAGGCCCUGGGGGGUUUGUUCCCCUCACCCACCACCCCGCUCUGCCACAAACUGGGGCACACAUAUAUGUGUGUAUGUGUGCGUGUACAUGCAUGGAUAUGAGACCCACGCAGUCAGGGCCCGGGCCAACCUGGGUGCUUGUGGCCACUGAGAAGCCACCCGUGCACCUUCCCCUCUGCACGCAGCUGCAGCCGACGACAGGAGUCGCACUGAGCCAGCUGUGCACAUGUCCCUGCCCCAGGAUCCUUCCCCACGGCCUGGGGUGCGGGACAAGGAGCAGAAAGCUGGUGCUGGCUUGAAACAUCUUUCCUGAAGUCCUCACCGCGUACUUGGCGUUGGGCAGGCAGGCCUGGCCCCUGUGCCUGCUCGGUGACAGUGGCGGCGGCGGCAGCAGCACCAGGCAGGCAGGGGUCCGUCAUUAGCAGUCCUCACAUGCGCCGAAGAGCUGCAUCCACACGGGAGUGUCCAUCUGGCCCACACCAGACCCUGCCCAACUCCUCCUCCCUCCUGGGCUCCUUGUUCGGGAGCAGGCAAGGGAAGCUCCCUCCCCAGACCCACCCCGGGCCCACGGAGGUCCCAGUUCACACCCAUCACGCCCAGUGCUGCCGCCUACAGCAGAACCCGAUCCCCUACCACCACCACCACCACUACCACCCACCCCAGCACCUCCAGCACGCCCACCAGUACCACCACGGCCCCCACGGGGGCCACCCCACCUACAGCGCCCAGGGCCACGGCCACCCACCGCUGCCCGCGGCCCACACCGGCCACGCAGCGCACCACCACGGGCAGCCGCCCGCCCCGCCGCCCCCCGCCAGCAGCAAGGCCAAACCCAGCGGCAUCAGCACAAUUGUGUAGACAGCAGGGCGGGGCCCCACCCCCGCCCCCGCCCCCGCCCCACCCCGCGCACCGCAUGGGCUGCCCGGGGCACCGGCACCUCGUUUCCAGCUCUCCACGGCCCUGACAGCUGAGCCCCUGCUGUCUCAGAGCCACGGGCUCGCCUCCCGUGGGGCAGACACCUUCCGGAUGCAGCCUGGGCGCCCUGGGCUCCCUUCCCCUGGUGCGAGGGUGGCCCAGCAGCCACCGCCAGACUCCAAAGGCCCCCGGCUGUGUAGACGGGGGCUGCUGCCUGCCCCACUGCAGCCCCGCUCUCUGCUCCCUCUUUUUCCAUCUCUGUGAAAACCCUGCCUUGAAAAGAAGAAAUGAGGUACUUUUAAAGAACAGACAAAACACAGCAAAACCCCAAACUUCCUGCAUUAUUGCUCUGUUAUUGACAAUGGGCAAAAAAAUUAAGUAGGCCUGAUAUGGUUGAUGAAAAUACGUAAGUAAACUUUAUACAAUAUAAAUAUAUACAUAUAUAAAUAUAUAUAAAUAUAUAUAUAUGCUGUAUAGGUAGUAUUUGUGUGUGAAAGACAAGCGUUUCAGUACACAAAUUAGCAAUAGAGACCGUCCAAGGACCUCCUCUUACCUGAUAGGAAGACAGUGCUUAGAUGAGUGUGAGAAAGUAGACCAAACACUUCCCCGCUAGGAACAAAUCCAGAUCCCUCCAUAUUUUCAUACAAAAAAAUAAAUAAAUAAAUAAAGGUCCCUCCAGGACUAAAAUCUUACACCAUCAUUACUAACUGUGCCAAGUACAUAGCAUCUGUCUGAAACUCCAUACUGCUUUGUAUAAAUCCUUAUUUUAUUAACAGAUACUACCCUAAAUAACCAGUAUUAUAACGGCUCUGUUAUUUCAGGUGAGCAUCUAGGUAGAACGCAGUCAGCUCUCAGUAGCAAGUGGAGACAGGUAGCUAAGAUCUGGUCAUCCCGGGGCAUCGGUUGCAAGCUCCUUAGCACUUCGUGUGAAGCCCUCCCUCUCCACUGCCCUCUCUGCAUUCGGUUGGAUGCACUCAUCCCACUCCCAGAAGGUCCAAGCAGCACAGGGCCCAUCUCCGCCAUGACAGUGGUCCACCCAUCUGACAACACAGCUCCCUCCCCUGGCCCUGCCCAGCAGGCAGGACCCCAAGAGCGAGAGCAGACCCUCAUGAAGUGCUAAGGCUCUCAAAGGCAGCCCCUGGCGGGGGAUGGUGUGUGUCCCAUGCUGUGUCCAGAGUGGUAGCAGUGAUCACUGUAAUUCCACGUAGCCAUGUGCUCACCAAAACCGCCCCCCCCAUGUCAUCACUGUGGCCACCAUUGUGACCCUGGCUGUCAAGCAGCUGGCCCUUGCCAGGCAAAUCCCCGCUGCCUCCCCUGGUCCCGUGAGCUGCCCGGGCAUCACAUGACUCUUAGCUGUGCUCUUGUCGCUUCUGUGUUGUGGUGACACCAUGCGCUGCACACCCACCAGCACUAGGUCUGUUCCCCGUCACCCACAGGCCCUCCUUUGCAG